UCAAGUUAUUAAGGGUGCAGGGCGGAUGCCUUGGCACUAGGAGCCGAUGAAGGACGUGAUAAGCUGCGAUAAGCUUCGGGGAGUUGCACGUAAACUUUGAUCCGAAGAUUUCCGAAUGAGGAAACUCACUUAGAGUAAUGUCUAAGUAUCAUUAAGUGAAUACAUAGCUUAAUGAGGGGAACUCAGGGAACUGAAACAUCUAAGUACCUGAAGGAAGAGAAAGAAAUUCGAUUCCGUAAGUAGCGGCGAGCGAACGCGGAUUAGCCCAAACCAAUAAAGUUUUCUUUAUUGGGGUUGCGGACAUAUCAUAACGGAGAGGUAUCGUAAUUGAAGAGGUUUGGAAAGACCCACCACAGAAGGUAAUAGUCCUGUAUGUUAAAUGAGAAGACUUUAGAUAUGAUCCAGAGUACCACUGGACACGUGAAACCCUGUGGGAAGCAGGAGGGACCACCCUCCAAGGCUAAAUACUACCUAGUGACCGAUAGCGUAUAGUACCGUGAGGGAAAGGUGAAAAGAACCCCGGGAGGGGAGUGAAAUAGAACCUGAAACCCUGCACUUACAAGCUGUGGAAGCACAUUUCUUGUGUGACCGCGUACUUUUUGUAGAACGGGCCAACGAGUUACGUUAAGUAGCAAGGUUAAGCACUUAAGGUGCGGAGCCGUAGCGAAAGCGAGUUUUAACUGAGCGUUCAGUUACUUGACGUAGACCCGAAACCGGGCGACCUACCCAUGAGCAGGAUGAAGCGAAAGUAAAAUUUCGUGGAGGUCCGAACCCACGAGCGUUGAAAAGCUCGGGGAUGACUUGUGGGUAGCGGUGAAAUUCCAAUCGAGCCCGGAGAUAGCUGGUUCUCCCCGAAAUAGCUUUAGGGCUAGCCUCAAGGUGAGAGAUACGGAGGUAGAGCACUGAAUGUCCUAGGGGGUAUUGCACCUACCGAAGACUAUCAAACUCCGAAUGCCGUCAUCUUAUACUUGGGAGUCAGACUGUGGGUGAUAAGAUUCAUAGUCGAAAGGGCAACAGCCCAGAUCGUCAGCUAAGGUCCCUAAAUGUAAGUUAAGUGGUAAAGGAUGUGGGAUUGCACAGACAACCAGGAUGUUGGCUUAGAAGCAGCCACUCAUUCAAAGAGUGCGUAAUAGCUCACUGGUCGAGUGAUCCUGCGCCGAAGAUUUCCGGGGCUAAAACUUACUACCGAAGCUACGGCAUCAGUAAUGAUGGGUAGGGGAGCUUCCCAUACGGGUUGAAGCAUGACCGUAAGGACAUGUGGACAGUAUGGGAGUGAGAAUGUUGGCAUGAGUAGCGAGAUGUGGGUGAGAAUCCCACAGGCCGUAAACCCAAGGUUUCCAGGGGAAGGUUCGUCCGCCCUGGGUUAGUCGGGACCUAAGCUGAGGCCGAAAGGCGUAGGUGAUGGACAACAGGUUGAUAUUCCUGUACUACCGAUAACCGUUUGAGAGAAGGGAUGACACAGUAGGAUAAGCUAAGCACACUGUUGGUUAUGUGUGCCCAAGCAUUGAGGCAGUCAAAGUAGGUAAAUCCGCUUUGAUAAUGCUGGGAUGUGAUGGGGAGCGAAAUUUAGUAGCGAAGUAGCUGAUUUCACACUGUCAAGAAAAGUCUCUAUCGAGGUUAAAGGUACCCGUACCGCAAACCGACACAGGUGGGUGAGGAGAGUAUCCUAAGGCCAGCGAGAGAACUGUUGUUAAGGAACUCGGCAAAAUGACCCCGUAACUUAGGGAUAAGGGGUGCCACCAUCAGGUGGCCGCAGAGAAUAGGCCCAAGCGACUGUUUACCAAAAACAUAGGUUUCUGCUAAGUCGCAAGACGAUGUAUAGGAGCUGACGCCUGCCCGGUGCUGGAAGGUUAAGGGGAGCUGUUAGAGCAAUCGAAGCAGUGAACUUAAGCCCCAGUAAACGGCGGCCGUAACUAUAACGGUCCUAAGGUAGCGAAAUUCCUUGUCGGGUAAGUUCCGACCCGCACGAAAGGCGUAACGAUUUGGGCACUGUCUCAACAACAGACUCGGUGAAAUUGUAAUUCCGGUGAAGAUGCCGGAUACCUGCGACAGGACGGAAAGACCCCAUGGAGCUUUACUGUAGCUUGACAUUGGGUCUUGGUACUACAUGUACAGGAUAGGUGGGAGGCUUUGAAACCAGGACGCCAGUUUUGGCGGAGCCAUCCUUGGGAUACCACCCUUGUAGUACUGGGACUCUAACCAUAGGCCAUGAAUCUGGUCUUGGGACACUGUCAGGUGGGCAGUUUGACUGGGGCGGUCGCCUCCCAAAAGGUAACGGAGGCGCUCAAAGGUUCUCUCAGUACGGUCGGAAAUCGUACGUAGAGUGUAAAGGCAAAAGAGAGCUUGAUUGCAAGACAUACAGGUCGAGCAAGGAUGAAAAUCGGACUUAGUGAUCCGGUGGUUCUGCGUGGAAGGGCCAUCGCUCAACGGAUAAAAGCUACCCUGGGGAUAACAGGCUUAUCUCCCCCAAGAGUCCACAUCGACGGGGAGGUUUGGCACCUCGAUGUCGGCUCAUCACAUCCUGGGGCUGUAGUAGGUCCCAAGGGUUGGGCUGUUCGCCCAUUAAAGUGGUACGCGAGCUGGGUUCAGAACGUCGUGAGACAGUUCGGUCCCUAUCCGUCGCAGGCGUAGGAAAUUUGAGAAGACCUGUCCUUAGUACGAGAGGACCGGGAUGGACGUACCUCUGGUGUACCAGUUGUUCUGCCAAGGGCAUGGCUGGGUAGCUAUGUACGGAAUGGAUAAGCGCUGAAAGCAUCUAAGCGCGAAGCCAACUUCAAGAUAAGAUUUCCCACCGCAAGGGUAAGACCCCAGAAAGACUAUCUGGUUGAUAGGUCGAAGGUGUAAGUGCAGCAAUGUAUUUAGCUUAUCGAUACUAAUAGGUCGAGGACUUGACCAA
Molecule: ribosomal RNA, 2896 nt
Filed under: Clostridioides difficile
Lineage: Bacteria; Bacillati; Bacillota; Clostridia; Peptostreptococcales; Peptostreptococcaceae
Description: bacterial LSU rRNA
Rfam family: Bacterial large subunit ribosomal RNA
Source: RNAcentral